Ostrea edulis (European flat oyster) is the source of this 360-nucleotide long non-coding RNA. RefSeq lists it as uncharacterized. The record is from RefSeq and is a predicted model, not a curated record. Lineage: Eukaryota; Metazoa; Mollusca; Bivalvia; Ostreida; Ostreidae. The transcript is spliced from 4 exons.
GUUUCAGGACAAUUUAAUUUGCAUGUUAUUUAUUCAAAUGGUUUAUUACAGGCACUCAAUCGUCGUGUUUUAUAUUAGCAGGUCAAGCUCAACUAUAUUACAUUGUGUAGAGUGAUAAGUGACAGUGCUUUCUACUGUAGUGUUUUGGGAUAAAAGAAGGCAGUGACCAGUGCUCAGUUCCUAGAACAGAGGAUCCCUACCCUCAAUGGUUUCCUUCGGAUUGAGCUGAUGCAAGUGUCUUUAAAUCUUACAUCUGAGUCAUGGCUUCAAAGAUAAGGUUCCUGAAAAGACGUCAUAUGUACCAAAUUGAUGCAUCAACUCCUGCAAGGAAAUUUGUUGGGUUUUGUGAAAUAAAAGCGU